GGUCAAGCUACGAAGAGCGCAUGGUGAAUGCCUUGGCACUAGGAGCCGACGAAGGACGCGAUAAGCUGCGAUAAGCUUUGGGUAGGCGCAAAUAGCCUGUGAUCCAGAGAUUUCCGAAUGGGGCAACCCACACAGUAAAAACUGUGUACUGUAUACUGAAUACAUAGGUGUAUGGAGGUAACUCAGGGAACUGAAACAUCUAAGUACCUGAAGGAAGAGAAAGAAACAUCGAUUUCCUAAGUAGCGGCGAGCGAAAUGGAAAGAGCCCAAACCAGUCCCUAACGGGAUUGGGGUUGCGGACAGUUCAUAAAUAAAAGCAGGAGUUAAUCGAAGAGAACUGGAAAGUUCCAUCAUAGAAGGUAAUAGUCCUGUAGAUGAAAACGGAAGCUUUUAGAACUGAUCCAGAGUACCACGAGACACGAGAAACCUUGUGGGAAGCAGGGAGGACCACCUCCCAAGGCUAAAUACUACCUAGUGACCGAUAGUGAAGAAGUACCGUGAGGGAAAGGUGAAAAGAACCCCGGGAGGGGAGUGAAAUAGAACCUGAAACCGUGCGCUUACAAACAGUCGAAGGGCAUUAAAGCCUGACGGCGUGCUUUUUGUA
RNAcentral lists this ribosomal RNA (604 nucleotides) under Bacillota bacterium. RNAcentral describes it as "partial 23S ribosomal RNA". It matches the Rfam family "Bacterial large subunit ribosomal RNA", at positions 1 to 612 of the family's 2925-position model. Lineage: Bacteria; Bacillati; Bacillota. The record is from RNAcentral.